AGUGAACAGCAUUUGAUUGUGUAGCCCCAAGAUAGAAAAAGUUAUCAAGAAAUGGACAGACGUUAAGACGCACAACAACCAUGUGUGAAUGAUGAGAUCUCGUCCAUCACAUCAGUUGAACAAAAGUUGGAAAUCCGCGAAACAGCGCAUGUGAGGCCCAGUCAGAUGAGCCAGUAAGAAAAAAAAGAUAUAGUGUUCCACUUCAUUGUUCCCUAGCUGUAGAGUUGUUGGAGAAAACCCUGUAUUGUUAUGUUACAAAGAUAAUGAAAUAAAGGAGUAGAAUUUA
Dreissena polymorpha is the source of this 286-nucleotide long non-coding RNA. RefSeq lists it as uncharacterized. NCBI's taxonomy places the organism in Eukaryota, Metazoa, Mollusca, Bivalvia, Myida, Dreissenidae. The transcript has 4 exons. The record is from RefSeq and is a predicted model, not a curated record.